RNAcentral lists this long non-coding RNA (1011 nucleotides) under Oreochromis niloticus (Nile tilapia). RNAcentral's name for it is "lncRNA (ENSONIG00000042790.1)". The record is from RNAcentral. Lineage: Eukaryota; Metazoa; Chordata; Actinopteri; Cichliformes; Cichlidae.
UGGCACAGAUUUCUGCCCAUACAAGAAGUGGAAUCCUUCACUGCGCACAUUAACGCCGUGGAUAAAAACAUCAAGUUCACCAGGGAAGACACUAAGGAUAACUGUUUGCCUUUCCUGGACUGCGCUGUGCACAUUGAAGAGAAUGGCAACCUCAACAUUGAAGUUUACCGGAAGCCCACACACACGGACCAGUACCUCCUCUUUGACUCCCAUCACCCUCUGGAACACAAACUUGGAGUAAUUAGGACCCUACACCACCGGGCAGAACUUGUUCCCUCUAAGCCUGAAGGGAAAAAGAAGGAACACACACAUGUAAAGGAAGCACUGAAAACAUGUGGUUAUCCUAACUGGGCGUUCAUAAAGUCAGCAAAGAGGCACAGAAAAGAAGAUCAGACACCAGCGAGGGAGGAUAAGAAAGACAGACGCAACAACAUUGUCAUCCCCUAUGUAGCCGGUGUAUCAGAGAAACUCAGGAGAGUUUUCUCCAAGCACGACAUCCCAGUGUACUUCAGACCCAGCAACACACUCAGACACAAACUGGUUCACCCGAAAGACAAAACUCCAAAACACAGACUGAACAACGUGGUGUAUGCUGUACAGUGCAGUGAGGAAUGCCCGGACCUCUACAUUGGAGAGACCAAACAGCCACUUCACAAGCGCAUGGCACAACAUAGAAGAGCCACCUCCACAGGACAAGACUCAGCAGUCCAUCUGCAUCUUAAGGAUAAAGGUCACUCUUUCGAGGAUGCCAAUGUUCACAUAUUGGACAGAGAGGACAGAUGGUUUGAAAGAGGAGUGAAAGAGGCCAUCUAUGUCCACUGUGAGCGACCAUCUUUGAACAGAGGCGGUGGUUUACGACACCAACUGUCUGCCAUCUAUAAUCCAGUUUUGAGUUCCCUCCCCAGACGCCUUAACGCCCACUCACAUCCUGGGCCAUCUGACCUCAGGAAAUCACAUGAUAGGGUGGGGCCAGGUUUCACAAUGAGCUCACCCGAAACCCUGGCUGAUUAG